GGAACAAUAGAAGACGAAUGAUGACAUCGGUAACCCCGUUAUACUUGAAAGUAUCAUUUGGAUGGCAACCAUCUUGAUUUUGAAAUUAUUGGUGUUGAUUGUCGGCCUCUCGAUACUACCUCGGACUACAUCUAAGGUGGGUAGCGCGUAUUCGCGCAAGGUUCACUCUUGUCGAGCUAUCAAAUGCUCUCUUCAGAACUAUGCUUCCGGUUCUAGUGAUUCAUCAAAUGGAGGUUUUUCUUGAGGUAAGUCAACUACCACAGAUGGAUUGUUUUGCAUUUGUUGACGGGUUCGCCUUAGAAUUCUCUCUGGUUUAGGAUUUCGCUUGAUUGGAAUGGCUCUGCUAUGAGUCAUACAUAGAAAUCAAAGAGAAAUUGAAAUAAAAUUAAUAAUCAAAAAAUGAAAUAAAAUAAAAUAUGUAUCUAUAAUUCUAAAAAUUGCUAUUUUUCCUAUUAAAAUUUAGAAAAUAAAAUUUUAGUUUAAUGUCGAAACCUCGCGGCAACGGCACCAACCACUUGACCACCGCAAGAAAUGCGAACGGUAGGAUUGGAAAUACUGCAGUAAAAAC
Molecule: long non-coding RNA, 568 nt
Filed under: Gossypium barbadense (sea-island cotton)
Lineage: Eukaryota; Viridiplantae; Streptophyta; Magnoliopsida; Malvales; Malvaceae
Description: long non-coding RNA (GBAR_LNC019223)
Source: RNAcentral